RNAcentral lists this ribosomal RNA (312 nucleotides) under Pharia pyramidata. RNAcentral describes it as "partial 12S ribosomal RNA". The record is from RNAcentral. Lineage: Eukaryota; Metazoa; Echinodermata; Asteroidea; Valvatida; Ophidiasteridae.
UUUUUAGACCUUCCUGGAGGAGCUUGCCAUUGAACCGAUAACCCACGAAAUACCUCACCAGCCCUUGAAAUAAACCAACUUGUAUACCAUCGUCGUCAGUUUACCUCUUAAGAAAAGUACACUCAAAGAAAUACCACUCUUAACGUCAGAUCGAGGUGCAGUAUAUGGGCUGGGAAUGAGUGAGCUACAAUAAUAAACCAAAAACAAUAAAAUUCCGAUUAUGGAAAACUAUUUGAAAAUAGUAGUUUAAAAUAGGAUUCAGCAGUAAUAUCCUAAACAGAAAGUAGGUAUGAAGCUAGCUCUAAAAUGCGC